This 429-nucleotide ribosomal RNA is filed under the name Chloroflexota bacterium. Its description in RNAcentral is "Chloroflexi bacterium partial 16S ribosomal RNA". It matches the Rfam family "Bacterial small subunit ribosomal RNA", at positions 355 to 776 of the family's 1533-position model. Lineage: Bacteria; Bacillati; Chloroflexota. The record is from RNAcentral.
UGGGGAAUAUUGCACAAUGGGCGCAAGCCUGAUGCAGCCAUGCCGCGUGUGUGAAGAAGGCCUUCGGGUUGUAAAGCACUUUCAGCGGGGAGGAAGGCGUUAAGGUUAAUAACCUUGGCGAUUGACGUUACCCGCAGAAGAAGCACCGGCUAACUCCGUGCCAGCAGCCGCGGUAAUACGGAGGGUGCAAGCGUUAAUCGGAAUUACUGGGCGUAAAGCGCACGCAGGCGGUCUGUCAAGUCGGAUGUGAAAUCCCCGGGCUCAACCUGGGAGCUGCAUUCGAAACUGGGAGGCUAGAGUCUUGUAGAGGGGGGUAGAAUUCCAGGUGUAGCGGUGAAAUGCGUAGAGAUCUGGAGGAAUACCGGUGGCGAAGGCGGCCCCCUGGACAAAGACUGACGCUCAGGUGCGAAAGCGUGGGGAGCAAACAGG